This 193-nucleotide microRNA precursor is filed under the name Prunus dulcis (almond). RNAcentral's name for it is "sRNA ncRNA". The record is from RNAcentral. Lineage: Eukaryota; Viridiplantae; Streptophyta; Magnoliopsida; Rosales; Rosaceae.
ACUUGAUUAUGAGAGAGAGAGAGAGAGAGAGAGAGAGAGAGGUGGUAUGGCACCUGAGUUGAUUUAUAAUGCAUGUUGAUAAGAUCUCAAAUAGAAGUGGGGUACGUACUCUGCAAAUUUUGGCCUUGUGUUUGCUUCACCACAAACCUUUUCUUCUCUUUCUCUCUCUCUCUCUCUCUCUCUCUCUCUCUCU